CAACCGCCGCGGGAAUACGUAGGUGGCAAGCGUUGUCCGGAAUUAUUGGGCGUAAAGCGCGCGCAGGCGGUUUUUUAAGUCUGAUGUGAAAGCCCACGGCUCAACCGUGGAGGGUCAUUGGAAACUGGAAAACUUGAGUGCAGAAGAGGAAAGUGGAAUUCCAUGUGUAGCGGUGAAAUGCGCAGAGAUAUGGAGGAACACCAGUGGCGAAGGCGACUUUCUGGUCUGUAACUGACGCUGAUGUGCGAAAGCGUGGGGAUCAAACAGGAUUAGAUACCCGCGUAGUCCCUGUCUCUUAUAC
This 301-nucleotide ribosomal RNA is filed under the name uncultured bacterium. Its description in RNAcentral is "partial 16S ribosomal RNA". It matches the Rfam family "Bacterial small subunit ribosomal RNA", at positions 509 to 807 of the family's 1533-position model. The record is from RNAcentral.